This 580-nucleotide ribosomal RNA is filed under the name Acetobacter sp. GF-GYC-18. RNAcentral's name for it is "bacterial SSU rRNA". It matches the Rfam family "Bacterial small subunit ribosomal RNA", at positions 50 to 674 of the family's 1533-position model. Lineage: Bacteria; Pseudomonadati; Pseudomonadota; Alphaproteobacteria; Acetobacterales; Acetobacteraceae. The record is from RNAcentral.
AACACAUGCAAGUCGCACGAAGGUUUCGGCCUUAGUGGCGGACGGGUGAGUAACGCGUAGGAAUCUAUCCAUGGGUGGGGGAUAACUCCGGGAAACUGGAGCUAAUACCGCAUGAUACCUGAGGGUCAAAGGCGCAAGUCGCCUGUGGAGGAGCCUGCGUUUGAUUAGCUUGUUGGUGGGGUAAUGGCCUACCAAGGCGAUGAUCAAUAGCUGGUCUGAGAGGAUGAUCAGCCACACUGGGACUGAGACACGGCCCAGACUCCUACGGGAGGCAGCAGUGGGGAAUAUUGGACAAUGGGGGCAACCCUGAUCCAGCAAUGCCGCGUGUGUGAAGAAGGUUUUCGGAUUGUAAAGCACUUUCGGCGGGGACGAUGAUGACGGUACCCGCAGAAGAAGCCCCGGCUAACUUCGUGCCAGCAGCCGCGGUAAUACGAAGGGGGCUAGCGUUGCUCGGAAUGACUGGGCGUAAAGGGCGUGUAGGCGGUUUGUACAGUUAGAUGUGAAAUCCCCGGGCUUAACCUGGGAGCUGCAUUUAAUACGUGCAGACUAGAGUGUGAGAGAGGGUUGUGGAAUUCCCAGU